CAGUGCAGUCCGUACAGCGUAAAGUGAAGUGUCAGAUUAGCCAGUGCAGUCCGUACAGGCUAACCAGGGGAAACAUGUUUAGCCUUAAUUUUGAUACAAUUGACGCGGAAAGUAUCCUGACUGAGAAACCACAUGUCACAUGCAUUAAGAUCUGUUUCCCCAGAGUGUGUCUCAUAUUAAUAGUUACGGGGUUAGGUACACACCUGAUACGGGAUAUACGGUUCUGUGGAAAACCAUAUCGGGGCGUAGUUACAGGGUUAGGUACACACCUGAUACGGGAUAUACGGUUCUGUGGAAAACCAUAUCGGGGCGUAGUUACAGGGUUAGGUACACACCUGAUACGGGAUAUACGGUUCUGGGGAGAAACCAUAUCGGGGCGUAGGUACAGGGUUAGGAACACACCCGAUACGGGAUAUACGGUUCUGUGGAAAACCAUAUCGGGGCGUAGUUACAGUGUUGGUUACUGACCUGAUACGGGAUAUACAGUUCUGUGGAAAACCAUAUCGGGGCGUAGUUACAGGGUUAGGCACUGACCCGAUACGGGAUAUACGGGUCUGUGGAAAACCAUAUCGGGGCGUAGUUACAAGGUUAGUUACGGACCCGAUACGGGAUAUACGGUUCUGUGGAAACAAUUUCGGGGCGACGUUUUCCACAGAACCGUAUAUCCCGUAUCGGGUCAGUAACUUAUCUUGUAACAAUUAUAUCACGCCAACUACUUUCCAACUCAUCAAAAUAACAAUUAUGGUUAUAUAUAACCAGUAUUAUUAUAUUUCUACUGCUCCAUAUAGUCUACUGACACCAUAUAGAAUAUAUGGGUUCAUCAUGUGUCGUCAAACAGCCAAUGAGAGAAGAGUAUUUUGUAGAUGGUGUGAUAUAUAUUGUUAUUUUUAUUGGGUGUUAACAAAUUGG
Dreissena polymorpha is the source of this 909-nucleotide long non-coding RNA. RefSeq lists it as uncharacterized. NCBI's taxonomy places the organism in Eukaryota, Metazoa, Mollusca, Bivalvia, Myida, Dreissenidae. The transcript has 3 exons. The record is from RefSeq and is a predicted model, not a curated record.